RNAcentral lists this ribosomal RNA (460 nucleotides) under uncultured bacterium. RNAcentral's name for it is "partial 16S ribosomal RNA". It matches the Rfam family "Bacterial small subunit ribosomal RNA", at positions 338 to 795 of the family's 1533-position model. The record is from RNAcentral.
CCUACGGGAGGCAGCAGUGAGGAAUAUUGGUCAAUGGCCGCAAGGCUGAACCAGCCAAGCCGCGUGAAGGAUGAAUGCCCAGCGGGUUGCAAACUUCUUUUACCGGGGGACAAAGUGCCGCACUCGUCCGUUCCUGAGGGUACCCGAAGAAAAAGCAUCGGCUAACUCCGUGCCAGCAGCCGCGGUAAUACGGAGGAUCCGAGCGUUAUCCGGAUUUAUUGGGUUUAAAGGGAGCGUAGAUGGGUUGUUAAGUCAGUUGUGAAAGUUUGCGGCUCAACCGUAAAAUUGCAAUUGAUACUGGCAGCCUUGAGUACAGUUGAGGUAGGCGGAAUUCGUGGUGUAGCGGUGAAAUGCUUAGAUAUCACGAAGAACUCCGAUUGCGAAGGCAGCCUACUAAACUGCCACUGACAUUGAUGCUCGAAAGUGUGGGUAUCAAACAGGAUUAGAUACCCCGGUAGUC